UCGAGUUAGGGUCUUCUCGGCCCGACCUCCCAACCCUUUGUUAAAACUACCACUUGUUGCUUCGGCAGGCCCGUCCCCCUGUGGACCGCCGGCGGACCGCCGAAAGGCGUCCUCUGGCCUGCGCCUGUCGAUAGCCCCCCUUUCAAAUUCUGAACAAAACGUGUCAUGAUCUGAGUCUAUCACAAAAAUUAAAGCAA
This 197-nucleotide unclassified non-coding RNA is filed under the name uncultured Ascomycota. RNAcentral describes it as "sequence contains ITS1". The record is from RNAcentral. Lineage: Eukaryota; Fungi; Ascomycota.